RNAcentral lists this ribosomal RNA (253 nucleotides) under uncultured bacterium. RNAcentral describes it as "partial 16S ribosomal RNA". It matches the Rfam family "Bacterial small subunit ribosomal RNA", at positions 524 to 776 of the family's 1533-position model. The record is from RNAcentral.
UACGUAGGGGGCAAGCGUUGUCCGGAAUCAUUGGGCGUAAAGCGCGUGUAGGCGGCUAGAUAAGUCUGCUCUGAAAGCCCGGGGCUCAACCCCGGGAGGCGGGUGGAUACUGUCUAGCUCGAGUCCGGAAGAGGAGUGUGGAAUUCCUGGUGUAGCGGUGAAAUGCGCAGAUAUCAGGAGGAACACCAAUGGCGAAGGCAGCACUCUGGGACGUGACUGACGCUGAGACGCGAAAGCGUGGGGAGCAAGCAGG